Molecule: ribosomal RNA, 683 nt
Filed under: uncultured Actinomycetes bacterium
Lineage: Bacteria; Bacillati; Actinomycetota; Actinomycetes
Description: bacterial SSU rRNA
Rfam family: Bacterial small subunit ribosomal RNA
Source: RNAcentral
AAGUCGAGCGGAAAGGCCCUUCGGGGUACUCGAGCGGCGAACGGGUGAGUAACACGUGAGCAACCUGCCCUACGCUCUGGGAUAACCCUCGGAAACGGGGGCUAAUACCGAAUAUUCACUACUGGUCGCAUGGUUGGUGGUGGAAAGUUUUUCGGCGUGGGAUGGGCUCGCGGCCUAUCAGCUUGUUGGUGGGGUGAUGGCCUACCAAGGCGACGACGGGUAGCCGGCCUGAGAGGGCGACCGGCCACACUGGGACUGAGACACGGCCCAGACUCCUACGGGAGGCAGCAGUGGGGAAUAUUGCACAAUGGGCGGAAGCCUGAUGCAGCGACGCCGCGUGAGGGAUGACGGCCUUCGGGUUGUAAACCUCUUUCAGCAGGGACGAAGCGAGAGUGACGGUACCUGCAGAAGAAGCGCCGGCCAACUACGUGCCAGCAGCCGCGGUAAGACGUAGGGCGCGAGCGUUGUCCGGAAUUAUUGGGCGUAAAGAGCUCGUAGGCGGCUUGUCGCGUCGACUGUGAAAACCCGCGGCUCAACCGCGGGCCUGCAGCCGAUACGGGCAGGCUAGAGUUCGGUAGGGGAGACUGGAAUUCCUGGUGUAGCGGUGAAAUGCGCAGAUAUCAGGAGGAACACCGAUGGCGAAGGCAGGUCUCUGGGCCGAUACUGACGCUGAGGAGCGAAAG